This is a non-coding RNA of Vermiconidia calcicola, 71 nucleotides long. NCBI's taxonomy places the organism in Eukaryota, Fungi, Ascomycota, Dothideomycetes, Mycosphaerellales, Extremaceae. The record is from the annotation of a GenBank genome assembly.
CCGGGUUUAGGUUAAUGGUAGACUCGUCGCCUUCCAAGCGAACUGUGUCAGUUCAAAUCUGACUAUCCGGA